UACGAAGGGGGCUAGCGUUGUUCGGAAUGACUGGGCGUAAAGGGCGCGUAGGCGGUGAACCCAGUUAGGCGUGAAAUUCCCGGGCUCAACCUGGGGGCUGCGUUUAAUACAUGCUCGCUUGAGUUCGGAAGAGGGUCGUGGAAUUCCCAGUGUAGAGGUGAAAUUCGUAGAUAUUGGGAAGAACACCGGUGGCGAAGGCGGCGACCUGGUCCGAUACUGACGCUGAGGCGCGAAAGCGUGGGGAGCAAACAGG
Molecule: ribosomal RNA, 253 nt
Filed under: uncultured bacterium
Lineage: Bacteria
Description: partial 16S ribosomal RNA
Rfam family: Bacterial small subunit ribosomal RNA
Source: RNAcentral